CCUACGGGAGGCAGCAGUGGGGAAUCUUGCACAAUGGAGGAAACUCUGAUGCAGCGAUGCCGCGUGAGUGAAGAAGGCCUUUGGGUUGUAAAGCUCUUUUGUAGGGGAAGAUAAUGACUGUACCCUAAGAAUAAGGUCCGGCUAACUUCGUGCCAGCAGCCGCGGUAAUACGAAGGGACCUAGCGUAGUUCGGAAUUACUGGGCGUAAAGCGCGCGUAGGCCGUUGAGUUAGUUAAUUGUGAAAUCCCAAAGCUUAACUUUGGAACUGCAAUUAAAACUGCUCGACUAGAGUUUGAUAGAGGAAAGCGGAAUACAUAGUGUAGAGGUGAAAUUCGUAGAUAUUAUGUAGAACACCAGUUGCGAAGGCGGCUUUCUGGAUCAACACUGACGCUGAGGCGCGAAAGUAUGGGUAGCAAAGAGGAUUAGAUACCCUCGUAGUCCAUACCAUAAACGAUGAUUGUNUANAUGUUGUAAUUAUUUACUAGUAUCNCAGCUACGACAUAAGUACAUCCGCCGUGGGAGGUACGACCGCGAACGUUAAAACGUUAAAACGGUAAAGUUAGUACGGCGUGAGACGUGCCGACGGACGACGACGAGGGAGGUAGG
This 606-nucleotide ribosomal RNA is filed under the name uncultured bacterium. RNAcentral's name for it is "bacterial SSU rRNA". The stretch from base 1 to 515 matches the Rfam family "Bacterial small subunit ribosomal RNA", at positions 338 to 873 of the family's 1533-position model. The record is from RNAcentral.